CCCUUAGAUGUCCUGGGCCGCACGCGCGCUACACUGAUGCAUGCAACGAGUUUAUAACCUGGCCUGAAAGGUCUGGGUAAUCUUUUGAACGCGCAUCGUGAUAGGGAUAGGUUAUUGCAAUUGUUAAUCUUGAACGAGGAAUUCCUAGUAAACGCGAGUCAUCAGCUCGCAUUGAUUACGUCCCUGCCCCUUGUACACACCGCCCGUCGCACCUACCGAUUGAAUGGUUCGGUGAAGAUCUCGGACUUCGAUAUUUAUUCUUUAUUGAGUUUAUAUUGUGGGAAGUUAUCUAAACCUCAUCAUUUAGAGGAAGGUGAAGUCGUAACA
Molecule: ribosomal RNA, 327 nt
Filed under: uncultured eukaryote
Lineage: Eukaryota
Description: partial 18S ribosomal RNA
Rfam family: Eukaryotic small subunit ribosomal RNA
Source: RNAcentral